Non-coding RNA from Pelobates cultripes (western spadefoot toad), 410 nucleotides. Lineage: Eukaryota; Metazoa; Chordata; Amphibia; Anura; Pelobatidae. The record is from the annotation of a GenBank genome assembly.
CAGUUUCUGACAGUUUGUGCAGAAAUUCUUUGAUUAUGCAAACCGAUUUUUGCAGCAGCUGCGGAUGGCUUGUCUCAGACGGUCUAGGAGGUGAAGAUGCUGGAUGUGGAGGUCCUGGGCUGGUGUGGUCACACGUGGUCUGUGGUUGUGAGGCCGGUUGGAUGUACUGCCAAAUUCUCUGAAACACCUUUAGAGACGGCUUAUUGUAGAGAAAUGAACAUUCAGUUAACGGGCAACAGCAUUGGUGGACAUCCCUGCAGUUAGCAUGCCAAUUGCACGCUCCCUCAAACCUUGAGACAUCUGUGGCAUUGUGCGGUGUGAUAAAACUACACAUUUUAGAGUGGCUUUUUAUUGUGGCCAGUCUAAGGCACACCUGAUCAUGCUGUCUAAUCAGCAUCUUGAAAUGUCAC